AGGGCAUUUCGUGGAUGCCUUGGCAUGCACAGGCGAUGAAGGACGUGGCACGCUGCGAUAAGCGUCGGUGAGUUGUGAGCAAACUUUGACCCGACGAUUUCCGAAUGGGGAAACCCACCUUUACCAUUUAAUUUCAGUGCUGGUUCGCCAGUAUUGGAGUUAAGUGGAACGAAGGUAUUACCGAGGUGAAUAAAAUAGCCUUGGUAAAGCGAACCCGGGGAACUGAAACAUCUCAGUACCUGGAGGAAAAGACAUCAACCGAGAUUCCGUUAGUAGUGGCGAGCGAACGCGGACCAGGCCAAUGCCUGAAGUUCAACCAGCAGAAUAACCUGGAAAGGUUAGCCAUAGCGGGUGACAGCCCCGUAUGUGAAAGUGAGACUUCAGGAUUCGAGUAGGGCGGGACACGUGUAAUCCUGUCUGAACAUGGGGGGACCACCCUCCAAGCCUAAAUACUCGUGCAUGACCGAUAGCGAACUAGUACCGUGAGGGAAAGGUGAAAAGCACCCCGAUUAGGGGAGUGAAACAGUACCUGAAACGGAAUGCCUACAAUCAGUUGGAGCCUCUUUAUGGGGUGACAGCGUACCUCUUGUAUAAUGGGUCUGUGACUUAAUGUAUCGAGCAAGCUUAAGCCGUUAGGUGUAGGCGCAGCGAAAGCGAGUCUGAAUAGGGCGACUGAGUUCGAUGUAUUAGACCCGAACCCCGGCGAUCUAGGCAUGGCCAGGAUGAAGGUGCGGUAACACGCACUGGAGGUCCGAACCGAUUAACGUUGAAAAGUUAUCGGAUGAGCUGUGUUUAGGGGUGAAAGGCCAAUCAAGCCGGGAAAUAGCUGGUUCUCCGCGAAAACUAUUGAGGUAGUGCCUCGGAUGUUUACCGAUGGGGGUAGAGCACUGGAUGGAUGCGGGGGUCGCGAGAUCUACCAACUCUAACCAAACUCCGAAUACCAUCGAGUAUAGUCCGGGAGACAGACGGCGGGUGCUAAGGUCCGUCGUCGAGAGGGAAACAGCCCUGACCAACAGCUAAGGUCCCCAAAUCGUAUCUAAGUGGGAAAGCAUGUGGGAUUUCCAAAACAACCAGGAGGUUGGCUUAGAAGCAGCCAUCCUUUAAAGAAAGCGUAACAGCUCACUGGUCUAAACAAGAGAUCCUGCGGCGAAGAUGUAACGGGGCUCAAGAUACGUACCGAAGCUUUGGGUUUGACGUAAGUCAAGCGGUAGCGGAGCGUUCCGUAAGCCUGUGAAGCGAUCUGGUAAUGGGUCGUGGAGGUAUCGGAAGUGCGAAUGCAGACAUGAGUAGCGAUAAAGGGGGUGAGAUGCCCCCUCGCCGAAAUCCCAAGGGUUCCUGCGCAAGGCUAAUCCGCGCAGGGUAAGUCGGCCCCUAAGACGAGCCCGAAGGGGGUAGUCGAUGGGAAUCUGGUUAACAUUCCAGAACCUGGUGGUGUGUGACGGAUCACGUAAAUUGUUCACCCUUAUUGGAUUGGGUGGGCUUUGAAGUGGUUCCAGGAAAUAGCCCCACCGUAUAGACCGUACCCUAAACCGACACAGGUGGGAUGGUAGAGUAUACCAAGGCGCUUGAGAGAAGUCUCCUGAAGGAACUCGGCAAAUUGCCUCCGUACCUUCGGAAGAAGGAGGCCCCAUCUAGGCGCAAGCUCUGAUGGGGGGCACAGGCCAGGGGGUAGCGACUGUUUAGCAAAAACACAGGACUCUGCUAAGUCGGCUUCAAGACGACGUAUAGGGUCUGACGCCUGCCCGGUGCCUGAAGGUUAAGUGGAGUGGUGCAAGCUGCGAAAUGAAGCCCAGGUAAACGGCGGCCGUAACUAUAACGGUCCUAAGGUAGCGAAAUUCCUUGUCGGGUAAGUUCCGACCUGCACGAAUGGCGUAACGACUUCCCCACUGUCUCCAGGAGAUGCUCAGCGAAAUUGAAUUGCCCGUGAAGAUGCGGGCUACCCGCGGUUAGACGGAAAGACCCCGUGCACCUUUACUGCAGCUUCAGAGUGGCAUUAGGAAAGAACUGUGUAGCAUAGGUGGGAGGCUUUGAAGCAUCGGCGCCAGCUGAUGUGGAGCCAUAGGUGAAAUACCACCCUGUUGUUUUCUGAUGUCUAACCACGCACCGUUAUCCGGUGCUGGGACCCUCUGUGGCGGGUAGUUUGACUGGGGCGGUCGCCUCCUAAAGAGUAACGGAGGCGCGCGAUGGUGGGCUCAGGACGGUUGGAAACCGUCUGUUAGAGUGCAAUGGCAUAAGCCCGCCUGACUGCGAGACUGACAAGUCGAGCAGAGACGAAAGUCGGUCAUAGUGAUCCGGUGGUCCC
RNAcentral lists this ribosomal RNA (2302 nucleotides) under metagenomes. Its description in RNAcentral is "bacterial LSU rRNA". It matches the Rfam family "Bacterial large subunit ribosomal RNA", at positions 14 to 2430 of the family's 2925-position model. The record is from RNAcentral.